This 206-nucleotide long non-coding RNA is filed under the name Nicotiana benthamiana. RNAcentral describes it as "long non-coding RNA (NBEN_LNC000211)". Lineage: Eukaryota; Viridiplantae; Streptophyta; Magnoliopsida; Solanales; Solanaceae. The record is from RNAcentral.
CCCUCCGCUUCUUCUUAACCCAAAGAUCGACAUCCAACACUAGAAGUCUAUGAAGAGUUGAAUGCGACUCACCCGGAAUAACCUUGCAGUCCUUGUACAAGCCCCGAUCGCUCCUUCGGAUGAGGAUGUAGUCAAUCUGAGUGCGCGCCGCCGCACUCUUGAAAGUAACCAAAUGCUCCUCCCUCUUCCGGAAUGUCGAGUUCGCA